This 49-nucleotide ribosomal RNA is filed under the name Mucor mucedo. Its description in RNAcentral is "partial 28S ribosomal RNA". The record is from RNAcentral. Lineage: Eukaryota; Fungi; Mucoromycota; Mucoromycetes; Mucorales; Mucoraceae.
AAUUUGAUCUGAAAUCAGGCGGGAUUACCCGCUGAACUUAAGCAUAUCA